UGGGGAAUAUUGCGCAAUGGGGGGAACCCUGACGCAGCCAUGCCGCGUGAAUGAAGAAGGUCUUAGGGUUGUAAAGUUCUUUCGGUAUUGAGGAAGGUUGAUGUGUUAAUAGCACAUCAAAUUGACGUUAAAUACAGAAGAAGCACCGGCUAACUCCGUGCCAGCAGCCGCGGUAAUACGGAGGGUGCGAGCGUUAAUCGGAAUAACUGGGCGUAAAGGGCACGCAGGCGGUUAUUUAAGUGAGGUGUGAAAGCCCCGGGCUUAACCUGGGAAUUGCAUUUCAGACUGGGUAACUAGAGUACUUUAGGGAGGGGUAGAAUUCCACGUGUAGCGGUGAAAUGCGUAGAGAUGUGGAGGAAUACCGAAGGCGAAGGCAGCCCCUUGGGAAUGUACUGACGCUCAUGUGCGAAAGCGUGGGGAGCAAACAGGAUUAGAUACCCUGGUAGUCCACGCUGUAAACGCUGUCGAUUUGGGGGUUGGGGUUUAACUCUGGCGCCCGUAGCUAACGUGAUAAAUCGACCGCCUGGGGAGUACGGCCGCAAGGUUA
This 547-nucleotide ribosomal RNA is filed under the name uncultured bacterium. Its description in RNAcentral is "bacterial SSU rRNA". It matches the Rfam family "Bacterial small subunit ribosomal RNA", at positions 355 to 896 of the family's 1533-position model. The record is from RNAcentral.